RNAcentral lists this ribosomal RNA (253 nucleotides) under uncultured bacterium. RNAcentral describes it as "partial 16S ribosomal RNA". It matches the Rfam family "Bacterial small subunit ribosomal RNA", at positions 524 to 776 of the family's 1533-position model. The record is from RNAcentral.
UACGGGGGGUGCGAGCGUUGUCCGGAAUCACUGGGCGUAAAGGGCGCGUAGGUGGCCUGAUAAGGGUGUGGUGAAAGUCCGGGGCUCAACCCCGGAUCGGCCGUGCCGACUGUUGGGCUAGAGUACUGUAGGGGCAGGCGGAAUUCCAGGUGUAGUGGUGAAAUACGUAGAUAUCUGGAGGAACACCGGUGGCGAAGGCGGCUACCUGGCCCAACAUUGACGCUGAGACCCGAAAGCAUGGGGAUCAAACAGG